This 495-nucleotide ribosomal RNA is filed under the name uncultured bacterium. Its description in RNAcentral is "partial 16S ribosomal RNA". It matches the Rfam family "Bacterial small subunit ribosomal RNA", at positions 30 to 507 of the family's 1533-position model. The record is from RNAcentral.
UGACCUCUGGCGGCGUGCCUAAUACAUGCCAGUCGAGCGAACAGACGAGGAGCUUGCUCCUCUGACGUUAGCGGCGGACGGGUGAGUAACACGUGGAUAACCUACCUAUAAGACUGGGAUAACUUCGGGAAACCGGAGCUAAUACCGGAUAAUAUAUUGAACCGCAUGGUUCAAUAGUGAAAGACGGUUUUGCUGUCACUUAUAGAUGGAUCCGCGCCGCAUUAGCUAGUUGGUAAGGUAACGGCUUACCAAGGCAACGAUGCGUAGCCGACCUGAGAGGGUGAUCGGCCACACUGGAACUGAGACACGGUCCAGACUCAUACGGGAGGCAGCAGUAGGGAAUCUUCCGCAAUGGGCGAAAGCCUGACGUAGCAACGCCGCGUGAGUGAUGAAGGUCUUCGGAUCGUAAAACUCUGUUAUUAGGGAAGAACAAAUGUGUAAGUAACUAUGCACGUCUUGACGGUACCUAAUCAGAAAGCCACGGCUAACUACGUG